Cephus cinctus (wheat stem sawfly) is the source of this 3117-nucleotide RNA transcript. It is a transcript of the gene named protein male-specific lethal-3, with no coding region annotated. The transcript is spliced from 11 exons. NCBI's taxonomy places the organism in Eukaryota, Metazoa, Arthropoda, Insecta, Hymenoptera, Cephidae. The record is from RefSeq and is a predicted model, not a curated record.
GCGUCUAAUGGCCAAUUUCUUCACUUUCGGAUAAAAUUCAUCCUCCGGAUAAAUCCCCAGUUAUCCAGUCAUUUUCAAGUUUCAGAAGUUUAUCCGCAGGUGAAGAAAUUGGCCAUAAACAUAUUAAGGUAAUCAUAUUUUUUUUUUUUUUUAGAAAAAUGAGCAAAUGCAUGAGGUUAUAAUUAUUAAUGUGUUAGUGUCAGUUUUAUGUUGGUGGUUGGUGCAUCCUUUUCUAUAUCAACCUUGUCCCCCUCUUCGGGGACUUGCAAGUGCUGCCUCUUAUGACAAAUUCCUCAACUUCUAGUAUUCUUAAGUAUUUCCCUCCAUAGUUUUUUGAACUCUAUAAUUUUUCUAACUUGCUGAUAUAAUUAAAAUUAAUAUAUGCACUUAGCGCACGUUUUAUAGCACUCUACAGAAAUGAUCUCUAGAUGCAAUAUAUUGAUACCUCUAAGUUUAUUCAUUUUGCAACAUAAUUUCAGCAAGCAUCAAUCUUCCAUGUAAUGAUGUUCUAUGCUUAAAUGCGAAAAUGGUUUCUACGCGUGGCCCUAAGUUUAAAUUUUGUGAUGGCGAAAAGGUUUUAUGUUAUGAACCGGACCCAACAAAGGCUAAAGUACUUUAUGAUUCAAAGGUUUUAGAUGUAAUUGUCAAUAAAGAUCAAAGAGGUCGAAAAGCUGUUGAAUAUUUGAUACAUUUUCAAGGGUGGAACUCAUCAUGGGAUCGUUGUGUAACUGAAGAGUAUGUUUUGAAAGACACCGAAGAAAAUCGACAGUUGCAAAGAGAUCUUGCACAGAAAGCUCAACUUCAAUUAGGUGCAUAUUUAUACCGAAGAGAACGCAAAAAGAGAAGUCACAAGUCGUCAUCAGAACGCUUAACAGGAUCAGGAACGGAGCCGAGACGGAGAGCUAGAAGCGGUGGAAGCCGUGCUACCUCAGCAACAACUGGAUCAUCAGAAGAUGGUAGUUCAGGACAACACGACGAUUAUGACACUGAGGAAGCUAUCACGGAAGAAGACAGCGAGAGCAGCUCUGAAUAUAUUGAAGAUACAAGUGACGAUGAUGAAAGCGGUGGAGGAAGUCAAUCUGGCGCAAGUAAUAGACCUGGUGUAGACCUAGACAUAGGUGCUACGCUGAAGCGCAUUCUGGAUCAAGAUUUCGACUUAAUUACACAAAAGAAUAAACUUGCAGUAUUACCUGCACAACCUACAGUGGCGAACAUCCUGGAGUCUUGGGUACAACAUUUUACUACAACGCAACUAACAAAUAUUCCGGAGAAGCCACAAAGAAACAAGUCGAAUAACACUGUUGAGAAAACUGUGAAUGAUGUUAACAUUUGUCGAGAAGUCGCCGACGGCUUGCGAAUAUAUUUCGACUUUACAUUACGGGAUCUUUUAUUGUAUCGACAAGAGAGAGAACAGUACUGUACAUUGAAGUCCUCGUUUCAGUAUAGUGAAAGUGCUUGUCCCGUAAAAGAAGAGCCUGUUGAGAAUUCAGAUGUUGUGAUUAAGGAGGAACUUGAAGAUGCUGAAUAUGCUCACUUACCUCCAUUUCGUGAACAGGAAUCAGAAAUCGAAAAUUCGUCCAAGCCGCUUACUUAUGUUAAACGCAGAUUGCGUUCCUGUAGAGUAAGUUCAGUCGACGAAGGAAGGCAACUGAGAUCUUACGAAGACGUCAAACAGGAACCAGGAAAUUUGUCAAGUCACUUGACACUUUCAGUAGUAUGGCCAGUACAAGUUCUCGUUGCUCAAGUCCACGUGGUGUUACUUUGCGAAUGCCUGUUAUACCUUCGGCACAGAUUGGAGCUCUGCUUCAGCAAUCGAAUAGUUGGCGACUGAUGCCAGAUGCUGCGAAACGAGCUAAUCCUCCAUUACCAUCAUCUUACUACGGUGCCAUUCAUCUUACCAGACUCUUUGUCAAAUUACCAGACUUAUUACAAUGCACCGAUAUAUCAGACAAAAAGCUAAAAAUAUUGUUGAAACAUUUGGAUAUGUUCUUAAGCUAUAUGGAAAUGCAUCGAGAAUGGUUUGGAGAACAAUUUUAUAUGCAAGUGGAGAAUCAUCCACUGCCACAACCAACGAGUCCUUGAAGAAAGUGUAAGACAAGAUUAUAUAUAUAUUUUUCCACUUAGUAAUUUAUCUAAAGAAUAAUGCAUACUUAACUAGGAAAUAUAAAGCAAUUCUUCAAUUAAAAAUGUACAAUUAGAAAAGUCUAAUAGUUAGUUUUUGAAAACAACAACUAAUAGUCUCCUGGUCCAGUCCUUGCCCUCAUCCAGCGUUACAAAGAAUUUCUUCCAUUUCUUUAAAGCACAUCUUGUGGACAUCAACGUCUUCUUCAUUUGGCUGAUGACCUGGAUGUUAUUAACCAAGGAAGAGCUAAGGAUAAAAAGUAUAUUAAUAAGCUUUGAAUAGUACUUGAAAAGAAAAGAAACGAUUAUUUCCGCAAAGGAACAACAGAUUUUAAAGAAGUCAACAAUGAAAAGGAACAGAACAGAAAAGAAAAAAGACCAGAACCAAUGCAAUGUAAGUGAAGUAAAUCUAGAAUGCAGGAGACAAAAGGUUCAAAAGGAUAAUUAUGAGAAAAGCCGCAUGUUGAAUCUUGCAAUUUGCUUCCUCCUAAUCGUAAGUAGUGUACAAAGUCCCUACAUGAGAAAGCAUUUUCAUUUUUUUUAAAUCUUUGGCUUCCUCAUGGAUUUCCACCAAAUCUUAUACCCAACAACUUUGCACGGUGAUUUAUAUGAAUCGACGAAAUUGAGCAUGGCAAGUGAAAUACUAUUGAAUCGGUUGAAAUUGAAAACUCAAAAACUUGAAUUGUAUGCAGAAACAGAUCCGUUUUACCGAUAUACGCCAAAUUUGAUACAUAUCACGGCUGAAUGAUAUUCUAUACUUUUAGAAAGUUAGAGUUCAAUCGGUGAAAGUUGACGGGAGUUAUAUUGAAAAAUUUGAUUUUUCGAAAAAUUCAAAAUAUCAUAAAAUCAAAACUUCUCGAUGGAUUCAAUACCAACCAACCUUAGAUACAAAUCUUUUAGUCAAGAACUAUGUAGGCCAGUAUCACAAAAUUUGCGACUGCUAGAGUGAUAACGAUCUUUUUUGGAGGAUUUGAAAACGAUUAUGUGAACGUAAUU